RNAcentral lists this ribosomal RNA (438 nucleotides) under uncultured bacterium. RNAcentral's name for it is "bacterial SSU rRNA". It matches the Rfam family "Bacterial small subunit ribosomal RNA", at positions 954 to 1392 of the family's 1533-position model. The record is from RNAcentral.
GCUAAACGCGAAGAACCUUACCAAGGCUUGACAUGGAUUUCUAAGCACGUGAAAGCGUGUGACCCUUCGGGGGACUUCCACAGGUGCUGCAUGGCCGUCGUCAGCUCGUGUCGUGAGAUGUUGGGUUAAGUCCCGCGACGAGCGCAACCCCUGUGAACUGUUGCCAGCACGUUAUGGUGGGGACUCUGUUCAGACUGCCCAGAUCAACUGGGAGGAAGGUGGGGACGACGUCAGGUCAGUAUGGCCCUUACGCCUUGGGCUGCACACGUACUACAAUGCCCAGCACAAUGAGAACCGAGACCGCGAGGUGGAGGAAAUCUACAAAACUGGGCCCAGUUCGGAUUGGAGGCUGCAACUCGCCUCCAUGAAGCCGGAAUCGCUAGUAAUGCUGCAUCAGCUACGGCAGCGUGAAUACGUUCCCGGGUCUUGUACACACCG